Molecule: ribosomal RNA, 253 nt
Filed under: uncultured bacterium
Lineage: Bacteria
Description: partial 16S ribosomal RNA
Rfam family: Bacterial small subunit ribosomal RNA
Source: RNAcentral
UACAGAGGUGGCAAGCGUUGUUCGGAAUUACUGGGCGUAAAGGGCGCGUAGGCGGCCAUCUAAGUCAGACGUGAAAUCCCCCGGCUUAACCUGGGAACUGCGUCUGAUACUGGAAGGCUUGAGUAUGGGAGAGGGAUGUAGAAUUCCAGGUGUAGCGGUGAAAUGCGUAGAUAUCAGGAGGAACACCAACGGCGAAGGCAGCUCGCUGGGACGGUACUGACGCUGAGGCGCGAAAGCGUGGGGAGCAAACAGG